UUUGAGGUCUAUCCCAAUACACCUUCCCUAGUAGCCACACAUCAUUGGAAAUGCCUCAUAUAAUAGCUUGUGGUUUUGCCCGACUCACAGGACUGCUUGUUAAGUCUAUGAAAAGGAGGAACUACUACAAGACAUCU
Small nucleolar RNA from Cricetulus griseus (Chinese hamster), 137 nucleotides. The record is from Ensembl. NCBI's taxonomy places the organism in Eukaryota, Metazoa, Chordata, Mammalia, Rodentia, Cricetidae.